CGCUGUACGGCGCGGUAACAACACGCUCGUAACACGGAGGAUGUCUCAUACGGUAAAGCGAAUGAUUAGAGGACAUUGGGGCCGAAACGACCUCAACCUAUUCUCAAACUAUAAAUGAGUGAGAUCGCCGGCUUUACCUGGUACACCGCGUGAACCGCGUGCGAAGCCGGCGACGGAACCCUAGGCGCUUAGUGGGCCAUUUUUGGUAAGCAGAACUGGCGCUGCGGGAUGAACCGAACGCCGAGUUAAGGCGCCGAAAUCGACGCGUAUUCAGAGACCAUGAAAGGCGUUGGUUGCUGAUGACAGCAGGACGGUGGCCAUGGAAGUCGGAAUCCGCUAAGGAGUGUGUAACAACUCACCUGCCGAAGCAACUAGCUCUGAAAAUGGAUGGCGCUGGAGCGUCGUGCCUAUACUCGGCCGUCGACGGCAUAGUGGGGCCAGUCGUCGCUCGCGGCGGCCGGUCCCGGCAAGCCUCGACGAGUAGGAUGGCACGGCGGUGUGCGUCGAAGGGCAGGUCGCGAGACCGCCUGGAGCCGCCGUCGGUGCAGAUCUUGGUGGUAGUAGCAAAUACUCGAGAGGGGCCCUCGGGGGCUGCCGUGGAGAAGGGUUUCUUGUGAACAGCCGUUGUCCAAGAGUCAGUCGAUCCUAAGCCCGGGGAGAGAUCCUCGUACCACGGGCGAAGGCGUUUUCGAAUCGCCCUUGGGGCGAAAGGGAAUCCGGUUCGUAUUCCGGAACCCGACGCGGAACCGCUCCCUAGUGUUCGGGGCUCUUUUGUCUCGUCUGGGUAACCAGAAUGAACUCGAAGAAGCCGCCGGGGGAUCUGGGUAGAGUUCUCUUUUCUCUGUGAGCGUUGUACGUCCCUGGAAUCCUCUAGCCGGGCGAUAGGGACGCGAGCGCGAAGAGCACCGCUCGUUGCGGCGGUGUCCGUGAUCCCCACGCGGACCUUGAAAAUUCGAGAGAGGGCCACGCGGAGUCUUCGCGUCGGUUCGUACCGAUAUCCGCAGCAGGUCUCCGAGGUGAGCAGCCUCUAGCCGCAUAGAAUAAUGUAGGUAAGGGAAGUCGGCAAAAUCGAUCCGUAACUUCGGGAUAAGGAUUGGCUCUGAGGAGCGUGGCGGAUCGGGUUCGGGUCGUCGUAGAAGCGUAGGCGGUGCUGGCAACACCCCGGCCGUCGCCCGUGCGUCUGGUCUUCGGGACCGGGAGCCUCGUGGCGGUUGCGGGCUCUUCGCCAUCCGCCGAUCGUGGAACCACUGAGCUUUGGUUACUGGUCGCGUCGCGGCUGCGUAGCCGGAUCGACCGCCAUGUAUCGGUCAACUCAGAACUGGCACGGACUAGGGGAAUCCGACUGUCUAAUUAAAACAAAGCAUCGCGAUGGCCCGGGACGGGUGUUGACGCGAUGUGAUUUCUGCCCAGUGCUCUGAAUGUCAACGUGAAGAAAUUCAAGCAAGCGCGGGUAAACGGCAGGAGUAACUAUGACUCUUUCAAGGUAGCCAAAUGCCUCGUCAUCUAAUUAGUGACGCGCAUGAAUGGAUUAACGAGAUUCUCAUCUGUCCCUAUCUACUAUCUAGCGAAACCACAGCCAAGGGAACGGGCUUGGAAAAAUCAGCGGGGAAAGAAGACCCUGUUGAGCUUGACUCUAAUCUGACAUUGUUCGGAGACAUGCCGAGGUGUAGCAUAAGUGGGAGUCGGGGUUCUAGGCGGGUGGUUUCGGCCGUUCGUCUCCCCGUCGACCUUGAAAUACCACUACUCGCAUCGUUUCCCCACUUACUCGGUAGAGCGGAACGCCCGGUUCCGGCCACAGGUGCGUCCGGCUGUCGGUCGUCGUCCCGUCGCGUUGUCGGUUUGCCGUCGGUUCGUCCGGCGUGCUACUAGCACGCGGCGCGGUCGCCGUGCCGUCGGCUUGUGCCCGUUCGUGCCGGGCCGCGGUUGAUUUUCCGGUAGCGUUAAACACCAGCCGUGGGCUCCGGGCGUCAAACACGGACCGCGUACGGCCGGCCGUCAAAAGUCGCCGUCCGCGUUCGCGGCGUUUCCGCGAGCCCAAACUCUGGUGCGAUCCGUAUUCCGAGGACACCGCCAGGUGGGGAGUUUGACUGGGGCGGUACAUCUGUCAAAAAAUAACGCAGAUGUCCUAAGGCCAGCUCAGCGAGGACGGAAACCUCGCGUAGAGCAAAAGGGCAAAUGCUGGCUUGAUCCCGGACGCUCAGUACGCGUAGGGACUGCGAAAGCAUCGGCCACUCGAUCCUCUCGUCCGCUGAAGAGUUUUCAGCGAGAGGUGUCAGAAAAGUUACCACAGGGAUAACUGGGCUUGUGGCGGGCCAAGCGUUCAUAGCGACGUCGCUUUUUGAUCCUUCGAUGUCGGCUCUUCCUAUCAUUGCGAAGCAAAAUUCGCCAAGCGUCGGAUUGUUCACCCGCUUAAGGGAACGUGAGCUGGGUUUAGACCGUCGUGAGACAGGUUAGUUUUACCCUACUGAUGCAAGGUCGCACGCGAUCGAAACCGCCUUUACGGCGGCAGUCGUUACGAUAGUAAUCCUGCCCAGUACGAGAGGAACGGCAGGUUCGGACAUUUGGUUCGGCACUCGCCCGAGCGGGCGUUGGUGCGAGGCUACCAUCCGUUGGAUUACGCCUGAACGCCUCUAAGGCCGUAUCCACUCUGGAGAAAACAGCCGGGCCGGCUUUCGGGCCGGUCUCGGGAAAACGAUCGUCCGUACGGCGGAGGAGAACCCAGUAUACAUCGGGAAGGCGUCAAAGCACGGACCUUCGGGUCCACGACGAGCCGGAUUCUCGGCCGCGCGGGCUCUCGGGCCCGCUGGCCGUGCAUCAACGGUGAACGCGGUGAUCCCGCGGCAAACGGUGUGGGUUUUCGGAAUCGUCUGCAGACGACUUAAGUACCGGGCUGGGUGUUGUACUCGGCAGAGCAGUUACCACGCUGCGAUCUGUUAAGACUGCCCUUUGCCUCGGGGGUUCGU
Molecule: non-coding RNA, 2963 nt
Organism: Acyrthosiphon pisum (pea aphid)
Lineage: Eukaryota; Metazoa; Arthropoda; Insecta; Hemiptera; Aphididae
Source: Rfam